Molecule: long non-coding RNA, 1287 nt
Organism: Rosa rugosa (rugosa rose)
Lineage: Eukaryota; Viridiplantae; Streptophyta; Magnoliopsida; Rosales; Rosaceae
Exons: 7
Source: RefSeq, a predicted model, not a curated record
CUACUACAGAAAUGGGUUUCGUAGACACCGGCCCAAACUAAACAAUGACGCAUUUUUUAACCAACGUCCUUGUAACCCAAUAAGGACGCUUAAAAUUUUGAACAGCACGGCCCUUAGCUAUAAUGAUAAAUGUUUAGAAUCCUUCUCUCCUUUCGAGACGUGAACAAAAUAAACAAAGAAAACUGAAGAGCCCCUUCUGCUCUCCACUUCGUCUUCUCCGGUUCUCUCUCUCGAUCGAGUGAGAGCUGUAUUCAUGAAAUCACCGCCGAUUCCUAGAUUAGCGACCAUUCAACAUCGAAUCCCUUGUCAUCUCCGUGUAUGCAUAAAACCUUCUCUUCUGCACACACAUGCUGCCAAAUCCCCUGUUUGUUUCAGCUAGAGCAAAUGGAGCAGCAACUUGAAAAAAUUCUUGAUUCUGUACAGGUUGAUUCAAAGAAGUUUGGAAUGCUGGCAAAUUGGCAGCGGGAUUUCACCAUGGAAAACAUAUUGAUGCAGCUGAAGAAGGAAAUGACAGCCUCACACAUACUUAAAAUACCAGCUGCUGAAACUUGUUAGAUAUUCUACGUACUAAUAUUAGGCUUCAGACUCAGAACACAUGCUCAACUUAAGUUGCUAGUAGCUGCUGGCAUGUUUAAAUGUUAAAGUUUUUAACAGGUUGAGGACUAUCAAAAGAAAGAUCAAAACGCCAAUAAAGUACAUUAACUACCGGGAUUAUACACGAGUCCUUCAAUCAUGGAGUACAAAGCUCUGGGUUAAAUGUGAGCAUCAUUAUAUGUGUAUCUGAUUCAUUAUGUGUGUGUGUUAUAUCUAUUAUGCAGGUCUUAUCACUGACAACUUGUAGUGCAGUAAGCUAAGCCUUAAACAUACCAUACAUGCUAACUAAGAAACUUUUCUCUGUGAAUAACUGCAUUUUACUUCAAAUUUUACAAUCAUUAUCUCUUAUUGUUUUUACUUUUGAAAAUCCUUUUGGUGCAGGUUAUUCACUACUGUCAUGUUUCUUCAAACUGUAUCAAAGGUAGUGGAUGAAGAUAUUGGAGAUGAUGAAACCAAGUUUUGUGCCUCUAUAGUCAUCUAAGAUCACAUAGGAUAUCAACAUGUAAUAAGGAAUUAUUUAGUUGGUUUUAAUUGUAGCUUAGUUAACUAUUGUCAUCUAGGAUUAGAUAAGGAUUAAAUUAUGUUUAGUCCCUGUACUAUGACCCUUUUUUCAUUUCAGUCCCUGACAUUCUCAAUUAAUCUGAAAAGUCCCUAACGUCAAAAUUUCCGUCUGAUUGGUCCCUCCCGCGUCAA